CUCUUACUCUGGGAGAAAGCCCAAGUGCUGCAGGAGUUCAGAAAGGAAAGAAUACCCCACUUUCAGGGAAACCAAAGGCAUCAUCUUCAAAGAAACCAAUAAAAGAAGCUGUGCCUAAGAAAGGACCUCUCAGAGACUAUUUGAUGAAAAAUCCAGAUGUAAUGAAAUCUUCAGAAACACAAAACAAAGCCAAGGAUAAGUUGAAGACAUUAGCUCAUCAAACCUUAGUGAUGCUGCUGAGUAAAUACGUAACCCGAAUUCGCUUUUGUCAAAUGUGUCUUGAAGAGAUGCCCUGGAGGUCUCAGAUGAAUAUCUAUCUGGCAGUUGCACACUACCACCUAUUUAAAAAGAACCUGGAAGAGCA
Molecule: long non-coding RNA, 364 nt
Filed under: Serinus canaria (Common canary)
Lineage: Eukaryota; Metazoa; Chordata; Aves; Passeriformes; Fringillidae
Description: lncRNA (ENSSCAG00000007036.1)
Source: RNAcentral